This 500-nucleotide ribosomal RNA is filed under the name uncultured bacterium. RNAcentral describes it as "bacterial SSU rRNA". It matches the Rfam family "Bacterial small subunit ribosomal RNA", at positions 29 to 518 of the family's 1533-position model. The record is from RNAcentral.
AUUGAACGCUGGCGGCGUGCCUAACACAUGCAAGUCGAGCGGUAACAGGCGUAGCAAUACGUGCUGACGAGCGGCGAACGGGUGCGUAAUACAUGGGAAUCUGCCCUUUGGUGGGGAAUAACCCGGCGAAAGCCGGGCUAAUGCCGCAUGAGAUCCUCGGAUGAAAGCGGGGGACCGUAAGGCCUCGCGCCGAAGGAUGAGCCCAUGUCGGAUUAGCUAGUUGGUGGGGUAACGGCCCACCAAGGCGACGAUCCGUAGCUGGUCUGAGAGGACGGCCAGCCACACUGGGACUGAGACACGGCCCAGACUCCUACGGGAGGCAGCAGUGGGGAAUAUUGGACAAUGGGCGAAAGCCUGACCCAGCGACGCCGCGUGUGUGAAGAAGGCCUGCGGGUUGUAAAGCACUUUCGAUGGGAACGGAAAUAGUGCCGGGUUAACACCCCGGCCAAGCUGACGUUACUCAAUGAAGAAGCACCGGCUAACUCUGUGCCAGCAGCCGC